GCAUAUCAAUAAGCGGAGGAAAAGAAAAUAACAAUGAUUCCCUCAGUAACGGCGAGUGAAGAGGGAUAAGCUCAAAUUUUAAAUCUGUUGGGUUCCACUUAACAGAGUUGUAUUUUGAAGAAACGUUUUCUGCAUCCAGGAUUAGCCUAAAUCCUUUGGGAUAAGGUAUCAUGGAGGGUGAGAAUCCCGUUCAUGGUUAAUCUUAAGGAAGCUCUACGAUACGUUUUCCAAGAGUCGAGUUGUUUGGGAUUGCAGCUCAAAAUGGGAGGUAAAUUUCUCCUAAGGCUAAAUAUUGGCGAGAGACCGAUAGCGAACAAGUACCGUGAGGGAAAGAUGAAAAGAACUUUGAAAAGAGAGUUAAACAGUACGUGAAAUUGUUGAAAGGGAAACGAUUGAAGUCAGUCAUACCAACGGGAAAUCAACCUUUUGAGCUUGGUCUCGUGGGUUUUGAAGAGUUUCAAAGCCUUCGGAUUCGCGGGAUUGGGAUCUCUUGGUGUACUUUUUCGUACGGUUAGUCAACAUCGGUUUUGAAUGUCAUAAAAUGACUGGAGGAAUGUAGCUUCGAUCUCGUAUUGAAGUGUUAUAGCCUUUGGUAGAUGUGAUGUUUGAGACCGAGGAUUGCAACGGAUACCCUUCAGGGCUAUUCGUCUGAUCUCUGAUACGUUGCCUUGAUGUUGAAAGCUUGCUUAUGAUGUUAGGGUAUUACGGUCAAAAGGUUAGAACGAAUUACAUUCGUUAAGGAUGUUGACGUAAUGGCUUUAAACGAC
This 767-nucleotide ribosomal RNA is filed under the name Funneliformis mosseae. RNAcentral's name for it is "eukaryotic LSU rRNA". It matches the Rfam family "Eukaryotic large subunit ribosomal RNA", at positions 38 to 648 of the family's 3401-position model. The record is from RNAcentral. Lineage: Eukaryota; Fungi; Glomeromycota; Glomeromycetes; Glomerales; Glomeraceae.